AAUUUGACCUGAACUCAGUUGAGAGCACCCGCUGAACUUAAGCAUAUCAGUAAGCGGAGGAAAAGAAACUAAACAGGAUUCCCCCAGUAACGGCGAGUGAACUGGGAAAUGUCCAUCGCUAAAUCAUUUUGCCUCAGGCAUUAUGAAGUGUAGCGUAUAAGCCGUAAUCUUUUAUCUUUUAUUUCAAACAAGUUCCCUUGACAGGGGUUCCACAGAAGGUGAAAGCCCUGUACAUUGAGAUAAUUGAUCGAUAUUUGCGUGCUUUAGAGUCGGGUUGUUUGGGAUCGCAGCCCAAAGUCGGUGGUAAACUUCAUCUAAGACUCAAUAUUGCCACGAGACCGAUAGCAAACAAAUACUGUGAAGGAAAGUUGCAAAGCACUUUGAAGAGAGAGUUAAAGAGGACGUGAAACCGGUGAGGUGGAAACGGAUAGAGUCGGCGUAUCUUUCAAGUAUUCAUUUACUUUAUUUUUAUGUUGUGAUCUCUGAGCUCCAGAUUGGGACAGAGGGAAGCAGCAUAAUUUUCUGUGAUGCAUUUACUUGUUUGGUGCUUGGGGAUGUUUGAGGCAGAUUUGUAUCCGCAGUUUUGAGGCCAGCUUGCUGGUACCCAAACGGUGUUAGCAUUUUUUGUCUUGGACAUUUGAGUAUGGCUUACGGUCAUUUAUCGGUUCGAUCUGGGUGUAAGUUACGGUCGCAUGCGACACGUGCUUUUCAAUUAGUUCGGUCCAGUUAAUGCUCUCGUACUCCUUCCCCAUGUAAAAGCCGGUCAUCUAUCCGACCCGUCUUGAAACACGGACCAAGGAGUUUAUCGUGUGCGCAAGUUUUGGGUGUUAAAAACCUAAAAGCGAAAUGAAAGUAAAUGGCUCUUUAGAGUCUGAUGUGCGAUCUUGUUAAAAAGUGCAGCAUGGCCCCAUUCUAACUGUUUACAGUAGGGUGGCGGAAGAGCGUACGCGGUGAGACCCGAAAGAUGGUGAACUAUUCCUGAGCAGGACGAAGCCAGAGGAAACUCUGGUGGAAGUCCGAAGCGGUUCUGACGUGCAAAUCGAUCGUCUGACUUGGGUAUAGGGGCGAAAGACUAAUCGAACCAUCUAGUAGCUGGUUCCCUCUGAAGUUUCCCCAGGAUAGCUGGAGCUCACGAGUAGUUAUACUCGGUAAAGCGAAUGAUUAGAGGACUUGGGAACGAAAUGUUCUUAACCUAUUCUCAAACUCUAAAUGGGUAUGAUAUCAAAGUUGCUUGAUUUUGAACUUUGGCGUUGAAUACGAGCUCCAAGUGGGCCAUUUUUGGUAAGCAGAACUGGCGAUGUGGGAUGAACCAAACGCGGAGUUGCGGUGCCAAAGUGCCCGCUCAUUAGACCCCAUAAAAGGUGUUGGUUGAUACAGACAGCAGGACGGUGGCCAUGGAAGUCGGAAUCCGCUAAGGAGUGUGUAACAACUCACCUGCCGAAUCAACUAGCCCUGAAAAUGGAUGGCGCUGGAGCGGGCCACCUAUACUCUGCCGUCAUAUGCUUGUAUUUUUAAGUCUUGCAAUGACGUGUAAGAGGGUCGUAGUGGUUGCGUUGAAGGCUUUGGGUGUGCACCCAGCUGGAGCUUCCACUAGUGCAGAUCUUGGUGGUAGUAGCAAAUAUUCAAGUGAGAUCCUUGAAGACUGAAGUGGAGAAGGGUUCCACGUGAACAGCAGUUGAAUGUGGGUCAGUCGAUCCUAAGGCACCGGCUAAAGCCGUCUAGACACUGCGGGGAGAUGAGAUACUUAACGGUAUUUUGUCCACCCGGUUGCCGAAAGGGAAGUGGGUUAAUAUUCCCACACCAGGCAUGGGAGAUGGUGAUCCGCAAGGAUUACUUUGCGCGGUGACGCAAACGAACUCGUAGACUCGUGUGGAGUCCGGGCCAGAGUUCUCUUUUCUGGUUUAGAGAUCAUGUCCCUGGAAGUGGCUCAGCCUGAGAUAGGGAUGCUGGUCUCGUAAAGCGCAGCGGUUCCUGUUGUGUCUCGUGUGCUCCACAUGAGCCGUGAAAAUGCGAGGGAGGCAAUUUAAAAUCUCCUGCCUGAUCGUACCCAUAUCCGCAGCAGGUCUCCAAGGUGAACAGCCUCUAGUCGAUAGAAUAAUGUAGGUAAGGGAAGUCGGCAAAUUAGAUUCGUAACUUCGGGAAAAGAAUUGGCUCUAAAGGUUGGGUCAGUCGGGCUGUUGUGUGAAACAGGUGGACUUUGCUCGUGGCUGCUUGCGCUUCCUUUAGGGCGGCGCUUGUGGACUAGUAGUCCACGUUGACUGGUAAAUGUCCGUAUUAAAAAAAUAACUGUAGAUAAUGGAAGUUAUUAAACACUUGGCACAUUUACAUGCUUAUUUGUCUUUACCUAAAAUUAAAGAAAAAUGGCAGAAAGAAUUUGUAACAAUAGAAGAGAUGUGGGGACAGAGUGUGGCUGAAGAAUUUGGUUCAGCAAUGAUUGAACAAAUUAUGGAACUUGAUGGUUUUUGAUUAAAUUAUAACUCGAAAUUAAAUUAAAGUAUUUUUAGACGAUAUUGUGGAACCAUUUAAAAAAAUUGGCAAUUUAGUUAUUAAGCCAGAAUUUGUUAAAUGGAUGAAAGAAAAAUGUGAAAAUGAUUAUGGUAUUUUUUAUUCUUAAAAUUGUGGAUAAAUAGGUACAACCCGAUUUAUUUCAAGAAUGGCCACCGUAGUCACUCUGUAUAGAAGAUUUCGCUGAACCCACACCUAAUUCUAUAGUAGAGCCGAGAAUAAAUUGAAAAUGAGUCAAAACAAUCAGAUUAUUGUUGUUAAUACGGCCGUACAUUAUUAACUGCUCACCCUCACAGUGCUUAAAGGAAGACGACUAUUUCUUCCAAUCAGGAUUUACUCUCGUAUUCUCUUGAAUAAGGAAUCCGAUAUUCGAACCGAAGAUUUCCGAAUAUCUAGUUGGCAAUUUAGUUAUUAAGUUUACUCUGUCUGAUCCACAGGCUGACCCUUUCCUUUGCUUAUCUUAUUCACUGGGUUAUAUAGACUUGGAUAGGCGGAGUUCAAUGGGCAAGUUAUAUUAUUAUUUCUUUAUCCUAUGACCGCCAUAAAACAUUAUUUAAAUUUUUUAUAAUUAAUUUUUGUAAAUAAAACAAAUAAAGAUUAUUUUCAAGGUGUUCCUGAAAUCCUUACACAUGGGAUUUGUGGAAUAAUAAUUUAUUAUGGUAUAACAACAAUCCAAACAGGCUUGCAG
This 3193-nucleotide ribosomal RNA is filed under the name Meloidogyne arenaria. RNAcentral describes it as "eukaryotic LSU rRNA". The stretch from base 5 to 2384 matches the Rfam family "Eukaryotic large subunit ribosomal RNA". The record is from RNAcentral. Lineage: Eukaryota; Metazoa; Nematoda; Chromadorea; Rhabditida; Meloidogynidae.